Molecule: transfer RNA, 94 nt
Filed under: Acetobacteraceae bacterium
Lineage: Bacteria; Pseudomonadati; Pseudomonadota; Alphaproteobacteria; Acetobacterales; Acetobacteraceae
Also listed under: 2 other names
Description: tRNA-Ser
Rfam family: tRNA
About the family: Transfer RNA (tRNA) molecules are approximately 80 nucleotides in length. Their secondary structure includes four short double-helical elements and three loops (D, anti-codon, and T loops).
Source: RNAcentral
GGAGGGGUGGCCGAGUGGCUGAAGGCGGCGGUUUGCUAAACCGUUAUAGGGGCUUAAACCCCUAUCGUGGGUUCGAAUCCCAUCCCCUCCGCCA